CUCCGACAAAUAGAUACACUAGAGUCAAAAAGAUAAAAUAAUAAGCAAGCAAUUCAAAUACAAUUCGAAUAACAAGCUUGGUUGGUUGUUCCAUUCUUUCUUUUCUUCAUUGGGUACUUAACUCUUAAGGCAGUGUACUAUACAGUGAUCUACAAUAAGGCAUUUUAUUCUCAUAUGAGACUGGAAUAAUAAUACCUUUAGACAGAGCCUUACUUAAAAAUCAAUACCAAUCCAGAGGAUGAACAUAAUACUGCAGGAUCAUAACUAUGUCAGCAAGUGUCAUGCGACAGACAGUGCAUGCCUAGACGAAUUUGCACGGAUGUAAGACUCCGCUGCUAACAGAGUCCUACGCAAUCACUCUUCGCAAACAGUUCUGUUCAAGAAUGAAUAUUGAACUUUCAAGUUAUGUGUCCAGUAACCCUGAAACAAAGCAAUUUCCUCCUCUCCUUCCUUUAUUUAAUUCUCUCUCAUGGUGGAACUGAAAUCAACGGCUAUUCGUAUCUUUUCCAAAUCAAGUCAUGAUUUUCUUUCAAAUCACUCUACAAAAUAAGUACAGUUUAUCCCAACUCCAAAAGUACAAAAGCAGCAGGACAUUCAGUUGUCAAAUUAGCAUAUUACCGAAUUAUGCACCUAUUGCCACA
Molecule: long non-coding RNA, 641 nt
Filed under: Capsicum annuum
Lineage: Eukaryota; Viridiplantae; Streptophyta; Magnoliopsida; Solanales; Solanaceae
Description: long non-coding RNA (CANN_LNC000988)
Source: RNAcentral